GGGUCAGUACUCAAGAGGCUGAAGAGGGCGCACUGCUAACGCGCUAGGGGCUUAACCGCCCGCGCAGGUUCAAAUCCUGUCUGGCCCG
RNAcentral lists this transfer RNA (88 nucleotides) under Mesomycoplasma bovoculi M165/69. RNAcentral describes it as "Mycoplasma bovoculi M165/69 tRNA". It matches the Rfam family "tRNA". From Rfam's summary of the family: Transfer RNA (tRNA) molecules are approximately 80 nucleotides in length. Their secondary structure includes four short double-helical elements and three loops (D, anti-codon, and T loops). Further hydrogen bonds mediate the characteristic L-shaped molecular structure. tRNAs have two regions of fundamental functional importance: the anti-codon, which is responsible for specific mRNA codon recognition, and the 3' end, to which the tRNAs corresponding amino acid is attached (by aminoacyl-tRNA synthetases). tRNAs cope with the degeneracy of the genetic code in two manners: having more than one tRNA (with a specific anti-codon) for a particular amino acid; and 'wobble' base-pairing, i.e. permitting non-standard base-pairing at the 3rd anti-codon position. The record is from Rfam by way of RNAcentral. Lineage: Bacteria; Bacillati; Mycoplasmatota; Mycoplasmoidales; Metamycoplasmataceae.